CAUUUAUCAAGUAUGUUUUCAAAUUUAAGUACUGUUUUAUUUAUCUAUAGUAUCACAUGACGUUGGGAGUCUAGCGAUUGGUCAGAGGUCAUUGCCUGGGCAUGUUCUGGCAAAGUCUGAUCCAAAGACAGAUGAUGUUAUAUACAUGAGGUUGACUUCCAGUUCAGCCAUCCUUCAAAAUACUGUAGCGUUUCUACGUUUACAUAUACCCGCGGAUAAGGUGGUUGCUUCAGGACACACAAGAAGAAGGAAUGAAGAGUAUGACGUCUUCUAUAAUGGGGUUGUCAUGCAGCUCGAACAUUCCAAACAAUUCAACAGCCUUGAACAAUGAAUUGUAGUGUUAAUUCAUUGGUAUAUGAUGGAAAUAAAAAAAAUGUACUCUAUUCUUUCUGCUGUUUCUUGUUAUACUGUCAUUGGCGAAUGAAUAUAAUUUUGGUGUUAUCCGUAUGUUCUUCUGUCGAUAGCAGAAAAUGUUCUUCUACAUGUGCUCUAAAAUUAAUAACUACACAUGCUCUAAUUUGAAAAAAACAACACAAUACUUAUGGGGUGUAGAUGGUGAAGGAAUGUAAUUUAGAUGUUAUCCGUCUGUUCUUCAGCCUGUUACCAUAUUUCGAUAGCAGAAAUAUGUUGUACUACAUGUGUUCUAAAAUUAUUAAAAGUACAAAAUACGUAUGGGGGUGUGGAAACCUAACAUAUUGUGUAUCAUAUGUGACAUUAUUUUGCAAAACCAAAUAGGACCAUUUUUGCGCUCAAUUAUAUUUGAAUUUCAGUUAAGAAUGGGAUAUUUAGAUCAGACUGCGUACAUAAGAAGCUGUCUUAGAAAUCG
This is a long non-coding RNA of Mercenaria mercenaria, 826 nucleotides long. RefSeq lists it as uncharacterized. The record is from RefSeq and is a predicted model, not a curated record. The transcript is spliced from 3 exons. NCBI's taxonomy places the organism in Eukaryota, Metazoa, Mollusca, Bivalvia, Venerida, Veneridae.